RNAcentral lists this ribosomal RNA (253 nucleotides) under uncultured bacterium. RNAcentral describes it as "partial 16S ribosomal RNA". It matches the Rfam family "Bacterial small subunit ribosomal RNA", at positions 524 to 776 of the family's 1533-position model. The record is from RNAcentral.
GACGAACCGUGCGAACGUUAUUCGGAAUCACUGGGCUUAAAGGGCGCGUAGGCGGGCUCGCCAGUCAGGGGUGAAAGCCUCCAGCUCAACUGGAGAAGUGCCUUUGAUACUGCGAGCCUCGAGGGAGGUAGGGGCGUGCGGAACUUCCGGUGGAGCGGUGAAAUGCGUAGAUAUCGGAAGGAACACCGGUGGCGAAAGCGGCGCGCUGGACCUCUUCUGACGCUGAGGCGCGAAAGCCAGGGGAGCAAACGGG